This 274-nucleotide ribosomal RNA is filed under the name uncultured bacterium. Its description in RNAcentral is "partial 16S ribosomal RNA". It matches the Rfam family "Bacterial small subunit ribosomal RNA", at positions 523 to 796 of the family's 1533-position model. The record is from RNAcentral.
AUACGGAGGGGGCUAGCGUUGUUCGGAAUUACUGGGCGUAGAGCGCGCGUAGGCGGGCUGGUCAGUUGGGGGUGAAAUCCCGAGGCUUAACCUCGGAACUGCCCUCAAUACUGCCAGUCUUGAGUUCGAGAGAGGUGAGUGGAAUUCCUAGUGUAGAGGUGAAAUUCGUAGAUAUUAGGAAGAACACCAGUGGCGAAGGCGGCUCACUGGCUCGAUACUGACGCUGAGGCGCGAAAGCGUGGGGAGCAAACAGGAUUAGAAACCCCAGUAGUCC